AUGAAUAGUUUUUGGGGCAAUCGGAGCCGCUCCACAUGAAACCUGCACGAGGGACUGCAAUCGGCAGCCGGUGGCACCCUUGGCCCUUAUCAGGGCCGUCAUUAUCGGUGGGACAGCAGGAAAAUGAGUGACCUUAAACGCAUCGAUAGCUCGAACUGUCUCCUCCACAUCGAACUUUCUCAUCACCACAAUGGUAGAUCCCAACGACAGGAGCCCCAUGGAGAAGAGGGAAAGACCAUACACAUGGAACAUGGGGAUGGCUGUGAGGUAAACAUUCCUCCAGCUCUCACUACCAUACAGUGAAGCUUCGCUCCGAACAAAAAGCUCCACCGUAG
This 335-nucleotide long non-coding RNA is filed under the name Musa acuminata (dwarf banana). Its description in RNAcentral is "long non-coding RNA (MACU_LNC006437)". The record is from RNAcentral. Lineage: Eukaryota; Viridiplantae; Streptophyta; Magnoliopsida; Zingiberales; Musaceae.